Synchiropus splendidus (mandarinfish) is the source of this 1033-nucleotide long non-coding RNA. RefSeq lists it as uncharacterized. NCBI's taxonomy places the organism in Eukaryota, Metazoa, Chordata, Actinopteri, Syngnathiformes, Callionymidae. The record is from RefSeq and is a predicted model, not a curated record. The transcript is spliced from 4 exons.
CAGAGACCAGAUCCGCGAGUGACGUGUCCCGGCGGAGGAGAAGCAAAUCGCUGCGGUUGUUUACAAGCAGACUUUCCGCCGUCCUGAGAGUGGCUCAAAUCGUGCAUUUUUUAAUUUCCACCGGAACAUAAAUAGGAAGAAUCUUGUCCGGAGGGAAAGUUCGCCACAACGGUGGCGUUCCUGAUGAGACGUCCUGAAGGGUCUGUUUAUAUGAGGGGAGGACGGUGACCGAGGAGCGGAGUGGUCAGCGGCAUCUACUGUAGUGCCGUGAAGUGAGCGUUCUUCACCGUCCUCUCUCUUCUGGAGCCCUUCAUCUCCAAGAGAGACCUCAGCCAACAUGAGUGGAGAGGCAGCAGCUGCUGCAGCAGCAAGGUAGCAGCUACUACAAUAAUGUAAUCACGCUAUGCUGCCAUUAAGGAGAGGAGGAGGAUGGAUCCACUCAUGAUGUUGGUGAUGAUGAUGAGGAGGAGGAUGGACCUUCCUCUGCCUCACCUGGUGCUGCUGCGUCUCCUCCACCUGCCACUGGCCCUUCCUCAUCCACUGCUGCUCCUCAUGACUCCGAUGGAAGAGACCAACAGAGGAAGGGGUCCCCCGAUGCUGAAGCUGAGCUCAAAUAUCUACUAAUGUACUCCCUCCACACACCCAGCUCAGAAGAAGGGACAGUUUUCAAGGUCCUCGUUCCUUCCAGGUUCCACAUAAAUGUAAAAUGUACAUGUUACUUUACCAAGCAAAACAACAGCUGACUGAAAUCAUUUGGACCCUUCAUUUAUUUUCUUUGUAGCCACAGUUUCAUGAAAGAACCGGAUGCCACCCCACUUCCUCCGCCUCUCUUGACCCUCGUCCCUCUGAGGAAGAUCCUUCAAAACACACCUAUGUAGUUCACUUCAAGUUUGACUGUGAUUCUGUGUGUAUUGAAUGAGUAUAAAUGAAUUAGUUACUUUAUUUUUGCAAAUAAAGUGUUUGACAAUGAACAUUUCUUUUUGUGAAAAAUGGAUUCACAGAAAAAAAUUAAAUCAAAAGCACUUUGCAAAAU